Molecule: ribosomal RNA, 461 nt
Filed under: uncultured bacterium
Lineage: Bacteria
Description: partial 16S ribosomal RNA
Rfam family: Bacterial small subunit ribosomal RNA
Source: RNAcentral
CCUACGGGUGGCUGCAGUGAGGAAUAUUGGUCAAUGGGCGAGAGCCUGAACCAGCCAAGUCGCGUGAAGGAUGACGGCCCUACGGGUUGUAAACUUCUUUUGUCAGGGAGCAAUUGGGUCCACGCGUGGGCUUAGCGAGAGUACCUGAAGAAAAAGCAUCGGCUAACUCCGUGCCAGCAGCCGCGGUAAUACGGAGGAUGCGAGCGUUCUCCGGAUUUAUUGGGGUUAAAGGGAGCGUAGGCCGGCUUUUAAGUCAGCUGUGAAAGUCCCCGGCUCAACCGUGGAAUUGCAGUUGAAACUGGAGGCCUUGAGUGCACACAGGGAUGCCGGAAUUCAUGGUGUAGCGGUGAAAUGCUUAGAUAUCAUGAAGAACUCCGAUCGCGAAGGCAAGUGUCCGGGGUGCAACUGACGCUGAGGCUCGAAAGUGCGGGUAUCAAACAGGAUUAGAUACCCGUGUAGUC